Molecule: long non-coding RNA, 1117 nt
Filed under: Microcebus murinus (gray mouse lemur)
Lineage: Eukaryota; Metazoa; Chordata; Mammalia; Primates; Cheirogaleidae
Description: lncRNA (ENSMICG00000048801.1)
Source: RNAcentral
GCCGUGGGCGGCAGGAAGUGUGCAGAGACAGAGCACCAGCACCCGGGUGGGGUGGGGAGGGGGCCGAGAAGGACCCUUCCCCACGUCCGGGCCACUAUGGCUGCUGGGGUCUCACACGCAGGGGAGCUGGGCAGGUCCCAGCCCCUGGGGGGUAAGACCAGGCGGGAGAGAAGGGCCAGGGGACCGUGCCUGGGACCUGUCCUUCUGCCCCCAGGACAUCGUGGCUGGAGACAUGAGCAAGAAGAGCCUCUGGGAGCAAAAGGGAGGCUCCAAGACCUCGUCCACAGUGAAGAGCACCCCGUCCGGGAAGCGGUACAAGUUUGUGGCCACCGGACACGGGAAGUACGAGAAGGUGCUGGUGGACGGGGGCCCGGCUCCCUAGACCCCGCCGCACCCUCCGUGUUCCCAGGGAGAUCCCGGCCAGACACCCGCCCCAGCCCUGGCUAAGAAGUUGCUUCCUGUCACCAGCCUGGCCCACCCUGGUGCCUUUGACACCCCCCACCACCACCACCACCACCGCGAACUCCUUUUGCUCCUGGACCCUCCAGCCUCUCUCCUCUCCCACUCUGACCCCAGCUCUGCCUCUGACUGCUUGGGGAGGAAAGAGACUCCUGAUCACUGGCCAAAGGGGCUGCCCCCCAGAGAGGACCAGAGCUCUCGGGGAAGGCAGGAGAACAAGGUGCCGCCUGUGCAGAGGGGGGCCGGUCACCCCACCAGAUCUGAGGGGUACCCGCAGGGUGAUCUCCAGGCCAAGAGCCGCCAACCCCUGCGCUGGAUGCUCAGGACUCUGUGCCCCUCCCGUCCCCGCUUGCCUCACUGCCCUCCCCACGUCAUGCAAUAAAGCUCCUUGUGUCCCCAUGCACUGGCUCGCCGUGCUCACUGAGGGGGACGGGGGAGUGGGGCUGACCGGGACACACAGCCCCGCACCAUGCAAUGUCCCUCUGCCCUGUCCUGUGGCCCUCCACAGGGGUAGGCACCAGGAUAUGAAGUCUGUGGUGGUCUAAGUCAGUGCCCAUGCAACGGGUGGGGUCCAGCCUGCCUUUUCCAGAAUGUUGUGACAUCCCCCUCUUGACUGGCCCACUGUAAACCUGUGCUCUGACUGCGUGCCUGCUGAGGG